RNAcentral lists this ribosomal RNA (480 nucleotides) under uncultured bacterium. RNAcentral's name for it is "partial 16S ribosomal RNA". It matches the Rfam family "Bacterial small subunit ribosomal RNA", at positions 28 to 507 of the family's 1533-position model. The record is from RNAcentral.
GACGAACGCUGGCGGCGUGCUUAACACAUGCAAGUCGAACGAUGAAGAAAAGAAUCGAAGCUUCGGCAGAAAUUCAUUUCGGAUUAGUGGCAGACGGGUGAGUAACGCGUGAGCAACCUACCUCUUACAAAGGGAUAGCCUCGGGAAACCGGGAUUAAUACCAUAUAACAUUGUGACGAAGCAUUUCGAUGCAAUCAAAGCUACGGCGGUAAGAGAUGGGCUCGCGUCCCAUUAACCGGAUGGCGAGGUAACGGCUCACCAUAGGGACGAUGGGUAACCGGCCUGAGAGGGUGAGCGGUCACACUGAAACUGAGACACGGUCCAGACUCCUACGGGAGGCAGCAGUGGGGAAUAUUGCACAAUGGAGGGAGCUCUGAUGCAGCGACGCCGCGUGAGUGAUGAAGGAAUUCGUUUCGUAAAACUCUGUUCUAUGGGAAGAAAAGGACUGUACCAUAGGAGAAAGCUCCGGCUAAAUACGUG